GGAGUCGGCCGGGCGGCCGUGGCGGAGGCCUCGAGCCCCCGUCGAGGAAAGUCCGGACUCCACAGGGCAGGGUGCUGGGUAACGCCCAGGCGGGGUGACCCGCGGAAAGUGCCACAGAAAACGACCGCCGCGCCGGAGGAGUCGGUACCGAUCCUUCCGGAGGAAGCGGUAAGGGUGAAACGGUGAGGUAAGAGCUCACCAGCGGCCGGGUGACCGGCCGGCUCGGCAAACCCCACCCGGAGCAAGGCCAAGCAGGGAGCGGGCGGCCCGUCCGAAGCUCCCGGGUAGGCUGCACGAGGGUCGCGGCGACGCGGCUCCCAGAGGGAUGGUCGCCACCCGCGGGCACCGGUUCGACCGGUACGCCGGCGGGAACAGAAUCCGGCUUACAGGCCGGCUCCUCCA
This 402-nucleotide RNase P RNA is filed under the name Actinomycetes bacterium. Its description in RNAcentral is "Actinobacteria bacterium RNase P RNA component class A". It matches the Rfam family "Bacterial RNase P class A". Rfam says of the family: Ribonuclease P (RNase P) is a ubiquitous endoribonuclease, found in archaea, bacteria and eukarya as well as chloroplasts and mitochondria. The record is from RNAcentral. Lineage: Bacteria; Bacillati; Actinomycetota; Actinomycetes.